Herpailurus yagouaroundi (jaguarundi) is the source of this 349-nucleotide long non-coding RNA. RefSeq lists it as uncharacterized. The record is from RefSeq and is a predicted model, not a curated record. The transcript has 2 exons. NCBI's taxonomy places the organism in Eukaryota, Metazoa, Chordata, Mammalia, Carnivora, Felidae.
AGGCUGCGUGAGGGCGGCCUGUUCCGGACGCCACGGGGAUGGGGGCCUGUCGCCCUGCCAUGGCCCUGCUUCUCCCUUCUCUGUGGCUUAUCCUCCUCGCGUCCCACCCACCGCCCGGGGCAGGAUGGACCGGAGGGACUCUGGUCUCCGUCAUCGGUAGCGGUGUAGGAUUCCUGAAGGGCCCCCAGGAAACGUGAUUGACAGAUGCAGUCCAGACGACUGGAUCAGGACCUGACCUGGGCCCAACAGAGUUCCAGAAUGUUCAGAACAGAGUAUGGAAAGGAAGAAACACCUCCGUGGGGUGGUUCUGUCACGGAGCUAGAAAACGGAGGCCCACACGCACAGGAGG